GCAGUCGAACGGUGAAGGAGAGCUUGCUCUUUGGAUCAGUGGCGAACGGGUGAGUAACACGUGAGCAAUCUGCCCCUGACUCUGGGAUAACAGUUGGAAACAGCUGCUAAUACCGGAUACGAGACGUGACCGCAUGGUCAACGUUUGGAAAGAACUUCGGUCAGGGAUGAGCUCGCGGCCUAUCAGCUAGUUGGUGAGGUAAUGGCUCACCAAGGCGUCGACGGGUAGCCGGCCUGAGAGGGUGACCGGCCACACUGGGACUGAGACACGGCCCAGACUCCUACGGGAGGCAGCAGUGGGGAAUAUUGCACAAUGGGCGAAAGCCUGAUGCAGCAACGCCGCGUGAGGGACGACGGCCUUCGGGUUGUAAACCUCUUUUAGCAGGGAAGAAGCGAAAGUGACGGUACCUGCAGAAAAAGCGCCGGCUAACUACGUGCCAGCAGCCGCGGUAAUACGUAGGGCGCAAGCGUUAUCCGGAAUUAUUGGGCGUAAAGAGCUCGUAGGCGGUUUGUCGCGUCUGCUGUGAAAACUGGAGGCUCAACCUCCAGCCUGCAGUGGGUACGGGCAGACUAGAGUGCGGUAGGGGAGAUUGGAAUUCCUGGUGUAGCGGUGGAAUGCGCAGAUAUCAGGAGGAACACCGAUGGCGAAGGCAGAUCUCUGGGCCGUAACUGACGCUGAGGAGCGAAAGGGUGGGGAGCAAACAGGCUUAGAUACCCUGGUAGUCCACCCCGUAAACGUUGGGAACUAGUUGUGGGGUCCAUUCCACGGAUUCCGUGACG
This 779-nucleotide ribosomal RNA is filed under the name Microbacterium hatanonis. RNAcentral's name for it is "bacterial SSU rRNA". It matches the Rfam family "Bacterial small subunit ribosomal RNA", at positions 57 to 848 of the family's 1533-position model. The record is from RNAcentral. Lineage: Bacteria; Bacillati; Actinomycetota; Actinomycetes; Micrococcales; Microbacteriaceae.